This is a long non-coding RNA of Manis pentadactyla (Chinese pangolin), 657 nucleotides long. RefSeq lists it as uncharacterized. The record is from RefSeq and is a predicted model, not a curated record. NCBI's taxonomy places the organism in Eukaryota, Metazoa, Chordata, Mammalia, Pholidota, Manidae. The transcript has 3 exons.
GCAGCUCCAUAAGCUCCAGGGGCUGAUAAGUCAUCCACUCUCUGUCUCCGAGGACACCGUGCGUAUGGGAAACCCAGGGAGGCCUGGGCCCAGGCCGUUGGCAGAGCCUGUGUCUUCCCGGUGCCUGCUGGUUACAGCCAGUCCUGAUCAGGAUUCCUUUCCCCUUUUGAGAUGACUUCCCUACUAAACAGCCCAGACACACUUUCUGGGGCAGAUGGCUGGUGAGUGAAACAGCACUCACAAGCCAGCGACGUGCAUGGGAGCUGUUUUGAACAAAGGGUGGUGGAUGGCUGGGCUUCCUCCCAGAAGGCUCUUAUCAGGUGCAUUUAACUACCUGGGAGCAGAAGCAGAAAGAAGAAAGGAGCCUGAAAGGUGAAAUUAUAUGGAGGAAAAAAAUGGUGAAAUAAAAGGGGUUUUAAAAUAGAGCUGGAAGGCAGGGAGGCUGGUCGGAGGUGGACCUUAUGUAUGUCCUCCCUGGGGGGAAUAUAAACUCUUGAACUGGGCCAAACCACAAAUAUUCCGAGGGCUCUGCACGAACAUCUAUCUGCAUCUUGCUACAUCCUUGCCAGGAACAGACUUUUGCUUAGUGACAGCCUUAGCAACCACUUGUGCUCAGCCAAGAUCACUUUUCUCCACCAAUACCAAUCAAGUAUACAA